This 376-nucleotide ribosomal RNA is filed under the name uncultured organism. Its description in RNAcentral is "partial 16S ribosomal RNA". It matches the Rfam family "Bacterial small subunit ribosomal RNA", at positions 526 to 896 of the family's 1533-position model. The record is from RNAcentral.
GUAGGGGUGCAAGCGUUAUCCGGAAUCAUUGGGCGUAAAGAGCUCGUAGGCGGUUCAGCAAGUCGGGCUGUGAAAUCCCGAGGCUUAACCUCGGAACUGCAGUCGAUACUGCCGUGACUAGAGUCCGGUAGAGGAGAAUGGAAUUCCCGGUGUAGCGGUGAAAUGCGCAGAUAUCGGGAGGAACACCAGUAGCGAAGGCGGUUCUCUGGGCCGGUACUGACGCUGAGGAGCGAAAGCGUGGGUAGCAAACAGGAUUAGAUACCCUGGUAGUCCACGCCGUAAACGUUGGACACUAGGUGUGGCGUUCCGACCAACGGGUGCCGUGCCGAAGCUAACGCAUUAAGUGUCCCGCCUGGGGAGUACGGCCGCAAGGCUA